CCCAGUGAUUUUUAUUUUCUCCGUCUCAGGACAGGGGUGAUAAACUGGAUUGUGCAAGGAUUAGGCAAAGUGGUUCCACAACCUGAUGACAAGCACAAACCGCAGACAGAAUCCCAGGAGGUCACUGAGGUUCCAAAAGUGGUGCCAGAGGUAAAGGUGGAGCAAAUUAGCCUGAGCCUCCACCUCCAGUCCCUGUGGUGGAGGCGGUUCCUGAUGCAGAAGCUGAAGGAGACAAGUCCAUAACCCCAAGGGUGAUGGAGUGGAUAAAGCAAGGUUUUGAGAAGGUGAUUCCGCAGCCAGGACACUCCAUACCAUCUUCUACAGACACUUCAGAUAAAAAGGAACUCGUUACAGAUACUGCACCUCCGCCUCCGAAGGCACCUGAAGUCUCAGUAGCUGAGGAAACCACUAAAGGAAC
Hemibagrus wyckioides is the source of this 418-nucleotide long non-coding RNA. RefSeq lists it as uncharacterized. The record is from RefSeq and is a predicted model, not a curated record. The transcript has 5 exons. Lineage: Eukaryota; Metazoa; Chordata; Actinopteri; Siluriformes; Bagridae.